CAGAUGUAGUUCAAUGGUAGAACCCUAGCCUUCCAAGCUAGCUACGUGAGUUCGAUUCUCAUCAUCUG
RNAcentral lists this transfer RNA (68 nucleotides) under human gut metagenome. It matches the Rfam family "tRNA". Rfam says of the family: Transfer RNA (tRNA) molecules are approximately 80 nucleotides in length. Their secondary structure includes four short double-helical elements and three loops (D, anti-codon, and T loops). The record is from RNAcentral.